This 404-nucleotide ribosomal RNA is filed under the name Actinomycetes bacterium. RNAcentral describes it as "Actinobacteria bacterium partial 16S ribosomal RNA". It matches the Rfam family "Bacterial small subunit ribosomal RNA", at positions 355 to 776 of the family's 1533-position model. Lineage: Bacteria; Bacillati; Actinomycetota; Actinomycetes. The record is from RNAcentral.
UGGGGAAUAUUGGACAAUGGGCGCAAGCCUGAUCCAACCAUGCCGCGUGAGUGAUGAAGGCCCUAGGGUUGUAAAGCUCUUUCACCGGUGAAGAUAAUGACGGUAACCGGAGAAGAAGCCCCGGCUAACUUCGUGCCAGCAGCCGCGGUAAUACGAAGGGGGCUAGCGUUGUUCGGAUUUACUGGGCGUAAAGCGCACGUAGGCGGACUUUUAAGUCAGGGGUGAAAUCCCGGGGCUCAACCCCGGAACUGCCUUUGAUACUGGAAGUCUUGAGUAUGGUAGAGGUGAGUGGAAUUCCGGGUGUAGAGGUGAAAUUCGUAGAUAUUCGGAGGAACACCAGUGGCGAAGGCGGCUCACUGGACCAUUACUGACGCUGAGGUGCGAAAGCGUGGGGAGCAAACAGG